CGAACGGGUGAGUAACACGUGAGUAACCUGCCCCUGACUCUGGGAUAAGCGUUGGAAACGACGUCUAAUACUGGAUAUGAUCACCGGCCGCAUGGUCUGGUGGUGGAAAGAUUUUUUGGUUGGGGAUGGACUCGCGGCCUAUCAGCUUGUUGGUGAGGUAAUGGCUCACCAAGGCGACGACGGGUAGCCGGCCUGAGAGGGUGACCGGCCACACUGGGACUGAGACACGGCCCAGACUCCUACGGGAGGCAGCAGUGGGGAAUAUUGCACAAUGGGCGAAAGCCUGAUGCAGCAACGCCGCGUGAGGGAUGACGGCCUUCGGGUUGUAAACCUCUUUUAGUAGGGAAGAAGCGAAAGUGACGGUACCUGCAGAAAAAGCACCGGCUAACUACGUGCCAGCAGCCGCGGUAAUACGUAAGGUGCAAGCGUUGUCCGGAAUUAUUGGGCGUAAAGAGCUCGUAUGCGGUUUGUCGCGUCUGCUGUGAAAUCCCGAGGCUCAACCUCGGGCUUGCAGUGGGUACGGGCAGACUAGAGUGCGGUAGGGUGAGAU
This 550-nucleotide ribosomal RNA is filed under the name bacterium BaA2-61. RNAcentral describes it as "bacterial SSU rRNA". It matches the Rfam family "Bacterial small subunit ribosomal RNA", at positions 99 to 662 of the family's 1533-position model. The record is from RNAcentral.